This 564-nucleotide ribosomal RNA is filed under the name uncultured bacterium. Its description in RNAcentral is "partial 16S ribosomal RNA". It matches the Rfam family "Bacterial small subunit ribosomal RNA", at positions 355 to 911 of the family's 1533-position model. The record is from RNAcentral.
UGGGGAAUUUUGGACAAUGGGGGAAACCCUGAUCCAGCCAUCCCGCGUGUGCGAUGAAGGCCUUCGGGUUGUAAAGCACUUUUGGCAGGAAAGAAACGUCGCGGGUUAAUACCCCGCGAAACUGACGGUACCUGCAGAAUAAGCACCGGCUAACUACGUGCCAGCAGCCGCGGUAAUACGUAGGGUGCAAGCGUUAAUCGGAAUUACUGGGCGUAAAGCGUGCGCAGGCGGUUCGGAAAGAAAGAUGUGAAAUCCCAGAGCUUAACUUUGGAACUGCAUUUUUUAACUACCGGGCUAGAGUGUGUCAGAGGGAGGUGGAAUUCCGCGUGUAGCAGUGAAAUGCGUAGAUAUGCGGAGGAACACCGAUGGCGAAGGCAGCCUCCUGGGAUAACACUGACGCUCAUGCACGAAAGCGUGGGGAGCAAACAGGAUUAGAUACCCUGGUAGUCCACGCCCUAAACGAUGUCAACUAGCUGUUGGGGCCUUCGGGCCUUGGUAGCGCAGCUAACGCGUGAAGUUGACCGCCUGGGGAGUACGGUCGCAAGAUUAAAACUCAAAUGAAUU